RNAcentral lists this ribosomal RNA (462 nucleotides) under Streptococcus sp. oral taxon H24. RNAcentral's name for it is "bacterial SSU rRNA". It matches the Rfam family "Bacterial small subunit ribosomal RNA", at positions 28 to 467 of the family's 1533-position model. The record is from RNAcentral. Lineage: Bacteria; Bacillati; Bacillota; Bacilli; Lactobacillales; Streptococcaceae.
GACGAACGCUGGCGGCGUGCCUAAUACAUGCAAGUAGAACGCACAGUUUAUACCGUAGCUUGCUACACCAUAAACUGUGAGUUGCGAACGGGUGAGUAACGCGUAGGUAACCUGCCUGGUAGCGGGGGAUAACUAUUGGAAACGAUAGCUAAUACCGCAUAAUACUGAUUAUUGCAUGAUAAUUGAUUGAAAGAUGCUAUUGCAUCACUACCAGAUGGACCUGCGUUGUAUUAGCUAGUAGGUGAGGUAACGGCUCACCUAGGCGACGAUACAUAGCCGACCUGAGAGGGUGAUCGGCCACACUGGGACUGAGACACGGCCCAGACUCCUACGGGAGGCAGCAGUAGGGAAUCUUCGGCAAUGGACGAAAGUCUGACCGAGCAACGCCGCGUGAGUGAAGAAGGUUUUCGGAUCGUAAAGCUCUGUUGUAAGAGAAGAACGGGUGUGAGAGGGAAAGUUCAC